RNAcentral lists this ribosomal RNA (680 nucleotides) under uncultured beta proteobacterium. Its description in RNAcentral is "bacterial SSU rRNA". It matches the Rfam family "Bacterial small subunit ribosomal RNA", at positions 28 to 709 of the family's 1533-position model. Lineage: Bacteria; Pseudomonadati; Pseudomonadota; Betaproteobacteria. The record is from RNAcentral.
AUUACGCUGGCGGCUGCUUACACAUGCACUCGAACGGCAGCACGGGAGCAUCCUGGUGGCGAGUGGCGAACGGGUGAGUAAUAUAUCGGAACGUGCCCAGUCGUGGGGGAUAACGCAGCGAAAGCUGUGCUAAUACCGCAUACGAUCUACGGAUGAAAGCGGGGGAUCGCAAGACCUCGCGCGAUUGGAGCGGCCGAUAUCAGAUUAGCUAGUUGGUGGGGUAAAGGCCCACCAAGGCGACGAUCUGUAGCUGGUCUGAGAGGACGACCAGCCACACUGGAACUGAGACACGGUCCAGACUCCUACGGGAGGCAGCAGUGGGGAAUUUUGGACAAUGGGCGCAAGCCUGAUCCAGCAAUGCCGCGUGCAGGAUGAAGGCCUUCGGGUUGUAAACUGCUUUUGUACGGAACGAAACGGUGAGCUCUAAUACAGUUUGCUAAUGACGGUACCGUAAGAAUAAGCACCGGCUAACUACGUGCCAGCAGCCGCGGUAAUACGUAGGGUGCGAGCGUUAAUCGGAAUUACUGGGCGUAAAGCGUGCGCAGGCGGUUAUGUAGGACAGAUGUGAAAUCCCCGGGCUCAACCUGGGACCUGCAUUUGUGACUGCAUAGCUAGAGUACGGUAGAGGGGGAUGGAAUUCCGCGUGUAGCAGUGAAAUGCGUAGAUAUGCGGAGGAACAC